Molecule: ribosomal RNA, 434 nt
Filed under: uncultured bacterium
Lineage: Bacteria
Description: partial 16S ribosomal RNA
Rfam family: Bacterial small subunit ribosomal RNA
Source: RNAcentral
AGCGAACGCUGGCGGCAGGCCUAACACAUGCAAGUCGAACGAACCUUUCGGGGUUAGUGGCGGACGGGUGAGGAACACGUGGGAACGUGCCUUUAGGUUCGGAAUAACUCAGGGAAACUUGUGCUAAUACCGAAUGGGCCCUUCGGGGGAAAGAUUAAUCGCCUUUAGAGCGGCCCGCGUCUGAUUAGCUAGUUGGUUGGGGUAAUGGCUCACCAAGGCGACGAUCAGUAGCUGGUCUGAGAGGAUGAUUAGCCACAUUGGGACUGAGACACGGCCCAAACUCCUACGCGAGGCAGCAGUGGGGAAUCUUGCGCAAUGGGCGAAAGCCUGACGCAGCCAUGCCGCGUGAAUGAUGAAGGUCUUAGGAUUGUAAAAUUCUUUCACCGGGGACGAUAAUGACGGUACCCGGAGAAGAAGCCCCGGCUAACUUCGUG